This 423-nucleotide ribosomal RNA is filed under the name uncultured bacterium. RNAcentral's name for it is "bacterial SSU rRNA". It matches the Rfam family "Bacterial small subunit ribosomal RNA", at positions 355 to 775 of the family's 1533-position model. The record is from RNAcentral.
UGGGGAAUAUUGGACAAUGGGCGCAAGCCUGAUCCAGCCACGCCGCGUGAGUGAUGAAGGCCUUCGGGUCGUAAAGCUCUGUGGGGAGGGACGAACAGCGUAGUGAAGAACUACGCGUGACGGUACCUCCUUAGCAAGCACCGGCUAACUUCGUGCCAGCAGCCGCGGUAAUACGAAGGGUGCAAACGUUGCUCGGAAUUAUUGGGCGUAAAGCGCACGUAGGCGGCCUUGUAAGUCGGAUGUGAAAUCCCUCGGCUUAACCGAGGACGUGCAUCCGAAACUGUGAGGCUCGAGUAUGGAAGAGGGUCGCAGAAUUCCCGGUGUAGAGGUGAAAUUCGUAGAUAUCGGGAGGAAUACCAGUGGCGAAGGCGGCGACCUGGGCCAAUACUGACGCUGAGGUGCGAAAGCGUGGGGAGCAAACAG